Non-coding RNA from Sarcophilus harrisii (Tasmanian devil), 45 nucleotides. The record is from Rfam. Lineage: Eukaryota; Metazoa; Chordata; Mammalia; Dasyuromorphia; Dasyuridae.
ACAAUGGACCUUUUCAGGUCCCCCAAAAUAGCUUUCAAGUAUAAA